Molecule: long non-coding RNA, 1684 nt
Organism: Coregonus clupeaformis (lake whitefish)
Lineage: Eukaryota; Metazoa; Chordata; Actinopteri; Salmoniformes; Salmonidae
Exons: 3
Source: RefSeq, a predicted model, not a curated record
CGGAGGCUCGGCGUAGGGGCUUGGCCUAUGGGUCCUUGUCAAAAGUACUGCACUACAUAGGGAAAAGGAUGCCAUUUGGGAUGCAGACUCAGGGCCUGAAAUCCACAGCUAAGCAGGAUGGUAUGGCUAGAACAACUCUAGUGGGCUUGUCAAAUGCCAUCUCUACCAUCAAAGACCUUUGUUAGACACAGGUGACCUUCAGACGAGUCCUGUGAAGAUUGUGGGCAUCGUAGAGCAAAACAGACAUGUCUGUGUUCGUGAGAGUCUCCAAUUUCUAUUAAUAGAACAGUGAUUGCAAUGCCGAUUUCCACGUGGGCGAGUGCUCAGGGCUUCGACAAUCAAGAUAUCCAGAGCAGUAAAUGUGCCCCCAUAAGAGCCAGAGACUAUGUACAAUAGAGUGCAUGGCCAAGAAAUAACAAUGGCUGUAAAAUCACACUGAGGAACCUCAUAGAAGUAUCAAAAUUAAUAUCAAACAAUUGUAGUCUACAAAAUAGCACUGAAACAAACAAUAUAGAUUCUACAACAAAUUGUCAUAUAGCCACUAUAUGACGAUUGUGUUCUAGAAUCUAUAUUGUUUGUGUCAGUGUUCCUUCAGUUCCGCCUGCCCUUGAUAUCUGUCACCCGAGGUGCAGAUAAACAAUGGGCCUAUUUGAAAACAAAGAUCUGAUUAUGGGGGAACAUUUAAUCCCAGCUUGACGUGUCAGCAGGCUGCAUGGGCAACAACUUUCAGGAGAGCCCUUUGAAGUGGUCUUUUCAGAGUCUUGGCUCAUUACACAAUAAAGAGCACUUCGCAUGUAACUGAAGUGGCUUGGGAAAUGACGGCUAAUGAUGUUGACAGCAGCAGAGAAUUACAAAGGAAUUUGACUAGUCUUGCACAAGCUCUUUACGUCUUUUUGUAAUAGAGUAGAGGAAGGGAGAUGCAUUUUUUAGUUUUCGCAUCGGGUCUGGCUGAGUUGUUGUACAACAAAUCAUCAAGAAGGAUUUUCUAUCGACACAAUUUAAUGAAUGGGGAAAAAACUCACCAAUGUUACAUAGAAAGGACUAGGCUACAUCAUGCAUGAUAUUUACUUGUUAUUUUUCCCAGUAGAAAUUGUCUAAUUACAGUCUAGUGACUCUCAGCAUUACACACAUUUUGAGACCAGGUUAUUAACACCCUAACACUGAAAAGUGUCAUCGAAUUUACAACAGGAAAAGGUGUUAGGGUCUGUAGCAAUACUUGUCAAAAAGAGCAGCUUAAUACCAAUGAAAAUAUACCAGUUCCUUGACCCGAAUACCCCCAAUGUUAAACUGUCGCCUGUCUUUGAAAAGUCACCAAAGUUGUCAACACCCUAUCCUCUUUUAACUGAGAAGGCAGUGCAAUAUAGCAACAUUGAUAAGUAGACUUGUUUAAUUAACACUUUGUUUGUUAAUUUGAAGAUGUAUAAGAUACAUGUAUUUUCUUAAUUUAAGCAUAGUUAUUUUUCUUAAUUUAAGCAUUGUUUAGUUCAUGUUCAACUAAUAAUUUACAAAUGAUGCCAACCAAUUUAUUUCAAGACUGAAAUCCUAGUUUGGGUUCUAUCAUUAUAGUGGAAUCCAAUCUUAAUAUUUUAGGAGUUCUUAUUUUGUAUAGAAAUAUGCAUCUUAAUUUAGCCGUAGCCCUUUCCUGCAGUCAAAUGACCUAAUGGCCUCAUGGGUGGAAUGUUAU